RNAcentral lists this ribosomal RNA (395 nucleotides) under Sinumelon vagente. RNAcentral's name for it is "partial 16S ribosomal RNA". It matches the Rfam family "Archaeal large subunit ribosomal RNA", at positions 1888 to 2621 of the family's 2987-position model. Lineage: Eukaryota; Metazoa; Mollusca; Gastropoda; Stylommatophora; Camaenidae. The record is from RNAcentral.
UCGCCUGUUUAUCAAAAACAUAGCUAUUAGAAUAAAAUAAUAGUGAAUUCUGCUCAAUGAAUUUUAAAUAGCCGCAGUACACUGACUGUGCAAAGGUAGCAUAAUCAGUUGGCUUAUAAUUGAAGUCUUGUAUGAAUGAAUAAAUGGGGAGUAACUGUAUCCAGAAUAGAAAAUGAAAUUACUAAGUGAGUGCAAAUUCUUACAAAUACAUAAUAGACGAGAAGACCCUAGAAAUUUUUAAUAUCUGCAUAAUUUUUUUUUGUUGGGGCAACAGUGUAACAGACAAAUUUACAUUAUGAUACAAGAAAUUUAUUUGAAAGAAUGAAAUUACUCUAGGGAUAACAGCGUAAUAUUUAUAUGUUUGCGACCUCGAUGUUGGACUAGGAAACGAAUAC